This 102-nucleotide microRNA precursor is filed under the name Vitis vinifera (wine grape). RNAcentral describes it as "miR156b stem-loop (vvi-MIR156b)". Its record names the gene vvi-MIR156b. The stretch from base 10 to 91 matches the Rfam family "mir-156 microRNA precursor family". Rfam says of the family: This family represents the plant microRNA (miRNA) precursor mir-156. Animal miRNAs are transcribed as ~70nt precursors and subsequently processed by the Dicer enzyme to give a ~22nt product. Lineage: Eukaryota; Viridiplantae; Streptophyta; Magnoliopsida; Vitales; Vitaceae. The record is from miRBase by way of RNAcentral.
CAUUGAAAACUGACAGAAGAGAGUGAGCACACAGAGGCAAUUGUAUAAGUUUAUGCUUUUGCUUUUGCGUGCUCAUUUCUCUUUCUGUCAGCUUCCAGUGCC